RNAcentral lists this ribosomal RNA (429 nucleotides) under Bacteroidota bacterium. Its description in RNAcentral is "Bacteroidetes bacterium partial 16S ribosomal RNA". It matches the Rfam family "Bacterial small subunit ribosomal RNA", at positions 355 to 776 of the family's 1533-position model. The record is from RNAcentral. RNAcentral also lists the same sequence under 1 other name. Lineage: Bacteria; Pseudomonadati; Bacteroidota.
UAGGGAAUCUUCGGCAAUGGGGGGAACCCUGACCGAGCAACGCCGCGUGAGUGAAGAAGGUUUUCGGAUCGUACAGCUCUGUUGUUAAGGAAGAACGAGUGUGAGAAUGGAAAGUUCAUGCUGUGACGGUACUUAACCAGAAAGGGACGGCUAACUACGUGCCAGCAGCCGCGGUAAUACGUAGGUCCCGAGCGUUGUCCGGAUUUAUUGGGCGUAAAGCGAGCGCAGGCGGUUAGAAAAGUCUGAAGUGAAAGGCAGUGGCUCAACCAUUGUAGGCUUUGGAAACUGUUUAACUUGAGUGCAGAAGGGGAGAGUGGAAUUCCAUGUGUAGCGGUGAAAUGCGUAGAUAUAUGGAGGAACACCGGUGGCGAAAGCGGCUCUCUGGUCUGUAACUGACGCUGAGGCUCGAAAGCGUGGGGAGCGAACAGG